ACAUACCCAUGAUUGCACUCCAUGUCGAUUACAACCAAACAUUUUCUGGUAAAACCUUUGACCGACCACACUAAAUCACCUUUCCUAUUUCACCAAUAUCCAUUCAUUUUGUUCCCCAUAUUUCAGAUUUAAAUAUCUCAAAUCUAUCACUGUGUUGCCCUUGCAAAAAUUGCAGACAACAAACAAAAAAAUUUAGGGUGUUUUCAAA
This is a long non-coding RNA of Cryptomeria japonica (Japanese cedar), 208 nucleotides long. RefSeq lists it as uncharacterized. The transcript has 3 exons. The record is from RefSeq and is a predicted model, not a curated record. NCBI's taxonomy places the organism in Eukaryota, Viridiplantae, Streptophyta, Pinopsida, Cupressales, Cupressaceae.